GGUUCGACGGGCUAUAUAAAGGCCAGGCUGGGACCUUCUGUCACCAGUGCUUAACUACACCAGUCAACAAUGUACCAGAUCGUUCUCCUCGUCCUGGCUCUGAUCGCAGUGGCCGCGGCCCAGUAUCCGUACUACGCCGGAUACUAUGGCAACGGAUACUACGGCACAUAUGCCAGUCCGUAUGCCUACUCCGGUCUUGGCUACGGCUUCUACGGCCGUUAAGCGUGGCAGGAGCGGACUUCCCUGCGCCAACGAAAAUGGAUUCAUCUUUUACAAAUGAAAUGUAUAAUUUGACAUCAAUAAACCGAGUUGGUUCC
This is a long non-coding RNA of Cryptotermes secundus, 317 nucleotides long. RefSeq lists it as uncharacterized. NCBI's taxonomy places the organism in Eukaryota, Metazoa, Arthropoda, Insecta, Blattodea, Kalotermitidae. The record is from RefSeq and is a predicted model, not a curated record. The transcript has 3 exons.